RNAcentral lists this transfer RNA (72 nucleotides) under Marmota monax (woodchuck). RNAcentral's name for it is "tRNA.Ala". The stretch from base 8 to 66 matches the Rfam family "tRNA", at positions 7 to 64 of the family's 71-position model. Rfam says of the family: Transfer RNA (tRNA) molecules are approximately 80 nucleotides in length. Their secondary structure includes four short double-helical elements and three loops (D, anti-codon, and T loops). Lineage: Eukaryota; Metazoa; Chordata; Mammalia; Rodentia; Sciuridae. The record is from RNAcentral.
GUUGUAGGUAGCUCAUUGGUAGAGCACUUGCCUGGCAUGUGUGAGGCCCUGGGUUUGAUCCUCAGCACCACA